UUUCCGUAGGUGAACCUGCGGAGGGAUCAUUAUUGGAUUUUGAAACUUCAGGCUGCUGCUGGCUCUCCUCGGAGGGCAUGUGCACGCUUGUUGUCCAUUAUUUCUCCCACUGUGCACAAAUUGUAGACCUUUCAGUAGGCCUAUGUUGUUUUUCACAAUCUCUGAAUGUAAUAGAAUGGUUUUGAAUCUUGGGAAAUACAAUACAACUUUCAGCAACGGAUCUCUUGGCUCUC
RNAcentral lists this unclassified non-coding RNA (233 nucleotides) under plant metagenome. Its description in RNAcentral is "partial contains small subunit ribosomal RNA, internal transcribed spacer 1, and 5.8S ribosomal RNA". The record is from RNAcentral.